CGGGAAUCUUCCGCAAUGGACGAAAGUCUGACGGAGCAACGCCGCGUGAGUGAUGAAGGUUUUCGGAUCGUAAAGCUCUGUUGCCAGGGAAGAAUGUCUUGGAGAGUAACUGCUCUAAGAGUGACGGUACCUGAGAAGAAAGCCCCGGCUAACUACGUGCCAGCAGCCGCGGUAAUACGUAGGGGGCGAGCGUUGUCCGGAAUUAUUGGGCGUAAAGCGCGCGCAGGCGGCUGUUUAAGUCUGGUGUUUAAUCCUGGGGCUCAACCCCGGGUCGCACUGGAAACUGGACGGCUUGAGUGCAGAAGAGGAGAGUGGAAUUCCACGUGUAGCGGUGAAAUGCGUAGAGAUGUGGAGGAACACCAGUGGCGAAGGCGACUCUCUGGGCUGUAACUGACGCUGAGGCGCGAAAGCGUGGGGAGCAAAC
RNAcentral lists this ribosomal RNA (424 nucleotides) under uncultured bacterium. Its description in RNAcentral is "bacterial SSU rRNA". It matches the Rfam family "Bacterial small subunit ribosomal RNA", at positions 356 to 773 of the family's 1533-position model. The record is from RNAcentral.